GAUGAACGCUGGCGGCGUGCCUAAUACAUGCAAGUCGAGCGAACGGACGAGAAGCUUGCUUCUCUGAUGUUAGCGGCGGACGGGUGAGUAACACGUGGAUAACCUACCUAUAAGACUGGGAUAACUUCGGGAAACCGUAGCUAAUACCGGAUAAUAUUUUGAACCGCAUGGUUCAAAAGUGAAAGACGGUCUUGCUGUCACUUAUAGAUGGAUCCGCGCUGCAUUAGCUAGUUGGUAAGGUAACGGCUUACCAAGGCAACGAUGCAUAGCCGACCUGAGAGGGUGAUCGGCCACACUGGAACUGAGACACGGUCCAGACUCCUACGGGAGGCAGCAGUAGGGAAUCUUCCGCAAUGGGCGAAAGCCUGACGGAGCAACGCCGCGUGAGUGAUGAAGGUCUUCGGAUCGUAAAACUCUGUUAUUAGGGAAGAACAUAUGUGUAAGUAACUGUGCACAUCUUGACGGUACCUAAUCAGAAAGCCACGGCUAACUACGUGCCAGCAGCCGCGGUAAUACGUAGGUGGCAAGCGUUAUCCGGAAUUAUUGGGCGUAAAGCGCGCGUAGGCGGUUUUUUAAGUCUGAUGUGAAAGCCCACGGCUCAACCGUGGAGGGUCAUUGGAAACUGGAAAACUUGAGUGCAGAAGAGGAAAGUGGAAUUCCAUGUGUAGCGGUGAAAUGCGCAGAGAUAUGGAGGAACACCAGUGGCGAAGGCGACUUUCUGGUCUGUAACUGACGCUGAUGUGCGAAAGCGUGGGGAUCAAACAGGAUUAGAUACCCUGGUAGUCCACGCCGUAAACGAUGAGUGCUAAGUGUUAGGGGGUUUCCGCCCCUUAGUGCUGCAGCUAACGCAUUAAGCACUCCGCCUGGGGAGUACGACCGCAAGGUUGAAACUCAAAGGAAUUGACGGGGACCCGCACAAGCGGUGGAGCAUGUGGUUUAAUUCGAAGCAACGCGAAGAACCUUACCAAAUCUUGACAUCCUUUGACAACUCUAGAGAUAGAGCCUUCCCCUUCGGGGGACAAAGUGACAGGUGGUGCAUGGUUGUCGUCAGCUCGUGUCGUGAGAUGUUGGGUUAAGUCCCGCAACGAGCGCAACCCUUAAGCUUAGUUGCCAUCAUUAAGUUGGGCACUCUAAGUUGACUGCCGGUGACAAACCGGAGGAAGGUGGGGAUGACGUCAAAUCAUCAUGCCCCUUAUGAUUUGGGCUACACACGUGCUACAAUGGACAAUACAAAGGGCAGCGAAACCGCGAGGUCAAGCAAAUCCCAUAAAGUUGUUCUCAGUUCGGAUUGUAGUCUGCAACUCGACUACAUGAGGCUGGAAUCGCUAGUAAUCGUAGAUCAGCAUGCUACGGUGAAUACGUUCCCGGGUCU
This 1372-nucleotide ribosomal RNA is filed under the name uncultured bacterium. RNAcentral describes it as "bacterial SSU rRNA". It matches the Rfam family "Bacterial small subunit ribosomal RNA", at positions 28 to 1381 of the family's 1533-position model. The record is from RNAcentral.